This 761-nucleotide ribosomal RNA is filed under the name uncultured bacterium. RNAcentral's name for it is "bacterial SSU rRNA". It matches the Rfam family "Bacterial small subunit ribosomal RNA", at positions 28 to 776 of the family's 1533-position model. The record is from RNAcentral.
GAUGAACGCUAGCUCCCGUUUUAGCACAUGCAAGUCGAGGGGCAGCAUGAAAGGAACUUCGGUUCUUUUUGAUGGCGACCGGCGCACGGGUGCGUAACGCGUAUCGAACCUGCCUCAUACUCGGGGAUAGCCUUGCGAAAGUAAGAUUAAUACCCGGCGGUCUCGGAUGGCCGCAUGACUAUCCGAGUGAAGAUUUAUCGGUAUGAGAUGGCGAUGCGUCCCAUUAGCUUGUUGGUGGGGUAACGGCUCACCAAGGCAUCGAUGGGUAGGGGUUCUGAGAGGAAGGUCCCCCACAUUGGAACUGAGACGCGGUCCAAACUCCUACGGGAGGCAGCAGUGAGGAAUAUUGGUCAAUGGACGAAAGUCUGAACCAGCCAAGUAGCGUGCAGGAUGACGGCCCUCUGGGUUGUAAACUGCUUUUAGUUGGGAAUAAAAAGAGGGACGUGUCCCUUAUUGUAUGUACCAUCAGAAAAAGGACCGGCUAAUUCCGUGCCAGCAGCCGCGGUAAUACGGAAGGUCCAGGCGUUAUCCGGAUUUAUUGGGUUUAAAGGGAGCGCAGGCGGCGGCGUAAGUCAGUUGUGAAAUCGUGCGGCUUAACCGUGCAAUUGCAGUUGAUACUGCGUCGCUUGAGUGCACACAGGGAUGUUGGAAUUCAUGGUGUAGCGGUGAAAUGCUUAGAUAUCAUGAAGAACUCCGAUCGCGAAGGCAUAUGUCCGGAGUGCAACUGACGCUGAGGCUCGAAAGUGUGGGUAUCANACAGG